Molecule: ribosomal RNA, 253 nt
Filed under: uncultured bacterium
Lineage: Bacteria
Description: partial 16S ribosomal RNA
Rfam family: Bacterial small subunit ribosomal RNA
Source: RNAcentral
UACGUAGGGUGCAAGCGUUAAUCGGAAUUACUGGGCGUAAAGCGUGCGCAGGCGGCUUUGCAAGUCAGGUGUGAAAUCCCCGGGCCUAACCUGGGAACUGCAUUUGUGACUGCAUCGCUAGAGUCUGUCAGAGGGGGGUGGAAUUCCACGUGUAGCAGUGAAAUGCGUAGAGAUGUGGAAGAACACCGAUGGCGAAGGCAGCCCCCUGGGAUGAGACUGACGCUCAUGUGCGAAAGCGUGGGGAGCAAACAGG